Molecule: small nuclear RNA, 25 nt
Filed under: Arabidopsis thaliana (thale cress)
Lineage: Eukaryota; Viridiplantae; Streptophyta; Magnoliopsida; Brassicales; Brassicaceae
Description: snRNA_16702
Source: RNAcentral
CUUACCACCUGACGGGUUUGCGCUG